CGCGUUUCGUCUACAUAAGACUCAUCAGUGACGCUCAUAUCAAAAUAUUUAUAAAGCCAAACAAUUACAAAGUUGAAGACAAAUUAACAUGUUCGUUUGCUAACUCUAUAGCACAAUGAGCUAAUUUGACCAAGGCAUUGGUGUCCAGCGACUUUUUUUAUGCCCCACCUACGAUAGUAGAGGGGCAUUAUGUUUUCUGGUCUGUGCGUCCGUUCGUCCGUCUGUUCGUUCGUCCGUCUGUCCCGCUUCAGGUUAAAGUUUUUGGUCAAGGUAGUUUUUGAUGAAGUUGAAGUCCAAUCAACUUGAAACUUAGUAUACAUGUGCCCUAUGAUAUGAUCUUUCUAAUUUAAAUGCCAAAUUAGAGUUUUGACCCCAAUUUUACGGUUCACUGAACAUAGAAAAUGAUAGUGCAAAUUUCAGGUUAAAGUUUUUGGUCAAGGUAGUUUUUGAUAAAAUAGAAGUCCAAUCAACUUGAAACUUAGUAUACAUGUUCCCUUUGAUAAGAUCAUUCUAAUUUUAAGGCCAAAUUAGAGAAUUUAUUCUAAUUUCACGGUCCAAUAAACAUAGAAAAUGAUAGUGCGAGUGGGGCAUCCGUGUACUGUGGACACAUUCUUGUUUAGAAUUGCUUCUAUUCUUUCUAUGUCAACACCGAAACUUUUUGUUAUACAUUUGAUGAGAUCGUCCCGAUCAAGUGUAUCUAAGGAUUCUGCGGUAAAUCUAUGCAACUCUUCCACAUGUGCAGCAUUAUGAAACUUUAUGACACUACAUAAGGGGUUGGUAGGGAACCCUUCGUUAACAUAUAUGGUAUCCUAUAUUAAGAUACCCCAAUCUAUUUAUUUAUGGUAUGGUAUCUAUGGUAGGGAACCUCCCAUCAACAUUUACUUGGACAAAUUUAUAAUUGUUAGAUAUUUAUGAUCUGAAUAGUCCAGACUAGGUAUACUAUAUGUGGUUUAUUUAUCAUUGACAUUUUUUUCUUCUAAGAUUUGAAACUUGGAUUGCAUUGAUCUGGGGGAAAAAACGAAACAUGUUAUUUUGAUAUUUGUCAAUUAUAUAUACAAAGGGGAAUAACUCACAAUCCAUCCAAAAAUGACUAUUGUAAAAUUUAGAUUUUGAUUUAAAGAUAAAUAUCGUUAAUAUGGGAUUUUGAGUACUUCUACUACCAUAACUAGAAUGUGUUAAUGUUUGUGUAAGUCCAGGGACAAAUUUAACAUGCACAUUACAGACGAAAAAAGAUAAACAAAUACAAAACGCCAAAUACGUUUUUGUUAAAAGUUGAACCAGAUAAAAGGUGAGAAAAUUAAGUAAUUAAAAAAAAAAUUAAGAAACACAUACGUACCCACAUUCUUCUCUACCUCCCUCAAUAUUCUCGUUACAGUGUGAAGCGCACGAAUCACACCAAAGGGGAUAUCUGCAUUCCGUCUCCUUUGAAAUUUGUGAAAAGUACCCUAGAAAAUUAGAAAAAAAGGAAAUAGUUCAAUUGUUUUGUAGACGAAACGCGCGUCUGGCGUACAUAUAAAAUUAGGCAUGAUUUCAAUGAUGGGUUUAUUUAUUAAUAUAAACCCUAAUCGUAUUACGAAAAAAAAAUAUCUAUUUUCAUAUCGAAUAUCGUUUCAUGUUGUACAAAUCAGAUU
Molecule: long non-coding RNA, 1631 nt
Filed under: Mytilus galloprovincialis (Mediterranean mussel)
Lineage: Eukaryota; Metazoa; Mollusca; Bivalvia; Mytilida; Mytilidae
Source: RNAcentral